This is a small nucleolar RNA of Gossypium arboreum, 107 nucleotides long. It matches the Rfam family "Plant small nucleolar RNA R71". Rfam says of the family: R71 is a member of the C/D box family of snoRNAs containing the C (UGAUGA) and D (CUGA) box motifs. Multiple nearly identical copies of this snoRNA have been identified in Arabidopsis, and it is thought to function as a 2'-O-ribose methylation guide for 18S ribosomal RNA. The record is from Rfam. NCBI's taxonomy places the organism in Eukaryota, Viridiplantae, Streptophyta, Magnoliopsida, Malvales, Malvaceae.
AUCCUAUGAUGAGGACACUUAUGAAGUAGCUCCUUGAAUCGUUCCCAAGCCUUAUACAAAGACUCGUCAUCCAAUUGUUGGAAAGUUGUUAUCUCGUUCCUCAUCUU